Molecule: non-coding RNA, 552 nt
Organism: Camellia sinensis
Lineage: Eukaryota; Viridiplantae; Streptophyta; Magnoliopsida; Ericales; Theaceae
Source: RefSeq, a predicted model, not a curated record
UUCUUUCAAGAACUGCAAGAUAUUCAGAGUUGCGUACAACUGAACUGCUCAUAGAAUUCCAUGAGGAAGAAAUAAGGAUUAGGUAUGCUGAGUCUGGAUCAACAGGAAAACAAGGGAGAAGUAUCUACGAGAGAGGUUUGCAUUUAUGUUGGCUUAAAUUUAGUUUAUUGAUUAAUUGUUUUAAUGGGUACCAAUAUAUUGUUACAAGAAAGCUAAGGGAGAAGUAUCGUUUCUAGCAUUUGAAUAUCUAAUGAUUAUGACAUGGAUGGUUCCUUAUUUUAUUUAAUUGCGCCUUUUGAUCAUGUUUAUUCUAUGUCCUAGGUAUAUGGCAUAUAUUAUGGACACUAAUGAAGAGGAGAGAGUUAAGGUACACCUUAUUCUGAAAGAACUAGCGAGGAAAUCACUAUCAGCAACACAGGUCCUUCAAAAAUAUGUAAAGAAUUGGAUAUAAAUUCCUGUACCAUUUCAGGAUAAGUGAUGACAUACCAGUUGACAAGGAUACUAGUUUGAGAUUGCAACUUGAUAUGUCAAUUUUUGAAAGUUUUUUGAAAG